UACGUAGGGGGCAAGCGUUGUCCGGAUUUAUUGGGCGUAAAGAGCGUGUAGGCGGCCAGGUAGGUCGGUUGUGAAAACUAGAGGCUCAACCUCUAGACGUCGACCGAAACCAUCUGGCUAGAGUCCGGAAGAGGAGAGUGGAAUUCCUGGUGUAGCGGUGAAAUGCGCAGAUAUCAGGAAGAACACCAAUGGCGAAGGCAGCUCUCUGGGACGGUACUGACACUGAGACGCGAAAGCGUGGGGAGCGAACAGG
This 253-nucleotide ribosomal RNA is filed under the name uncultured bacterium. RNAcentral describes it as "partial 16S ribosomal RNA". It matches the Rfam family "Bacterial small subunit ribosomal RNA", at positions 524 to 776 of the family's 1533-position model. The record is from RNAcentral.